GGUGGGUUGGCAGAACGGCUAUUGCGCUGGUUUCGAAAACCAGUGGGCGAAAGCCCUUGCAGGUUCGAGUCCUGCACCCACCG
RNAcentral lists this transfer RNA (83 nucleotides) under Candidatus Wolfebacteria bacterium. RNAcentral's name for it is "tRNA-Ser". It matches the Rfam family "tRNA". From Rfam's summary of the family: Transfer RNA (tRNA) molecules are approximately 80 nucleotides in length. Their secondary structure includes four short double-helical elements and three loops (D, anti-codon, and T loops). Further hydrogen bonds mediate the characteristic L-shaped molecular structure. tRNAs have two regions of fundamental functional importance: the anti-codon, which is responsible for specific mRNA codon recognition, and the 3' end, to which the tRNAs corresponding amino acid is attached (by aminoacyl-tRNA synthetases). tRNAs cope with the degeneracy of the genetic code in two manners: having more than one tRNA (with a specific anti-codon) for a particular amino acid; and 'wobble' base-pairing, i.e. permitting non-standard base-pairing at the 3rd anti-codon position. RNAcentral also lists the same sequence under 1 other name. Lineage: Bacteria; Candidatus Wolfeibacteriota. The record is from RNAcentral.